CAAAAAUCUACAAGGAUCACUGAUAAUUUGUUGAUCAGCAUUAGGUUCAUUAAAUCUAUGCACUUCAUUAUCUGAUUAAUUCAGAGGCAGGUUUGUAAUCAGUGGUGAAAUGUUUAAGAUUCUUCUGCUCUGGCCUCCACAACCUCCUGCAGCUCAUUAGAAAAGCUAAUCAGAUUGAAUUUUCCACCAUGCUGUUUAUUGUAGCCCUAAUGGAAGACAAUCACUUUAAAAUUACACUCUUGGCAGGUAAUUUCUAAAAGCCGUAAGCCAUGCAAGCUCUCUUCUCCCUGUGCUCUUUGUCUUCUUUACUAGGGUAAGGGCAGCUGAAUCGGGGAAUGCAGCAGGGACAGGCAGCAGCUGUGUGAGAAACCCUGUUAUUCCGCCUAUUUGGGAACAAAUCCUUUCACUAAAGUGAAGAACCAAAGCUGGGAGCCAGAUGCAAGUUGCUCCUGGAGAUGAACUUUGCCCUUGUGUGUUACUGGCAGAUCCUUUUAACAUGUUCUAAAUUAAUUAGAAACUGUUUGAAAUCUGAAUUCUGUCUAUAUUCUGCAAUAUCCAAGGAAUCCUGAACAUAAGGAGUGGCCUGUUGGACCAGCACAGAGGUCCAUCUUGCCCACUACUCUCUCCUUUCCGUGGCAAUAGAGGUUGCUCUAUUGAGGAACCAGUACAUAAGUUCCUGGUAUAUUGAAAUUCUAUCUGAAAGGAAAUUCCUGCUGCUGCUUUGAGUCUGUACAGCAGCAUGUCAUGACUGCCAGCAACUUACCCAGGCGAGAUGCAAUAUGGUUUCAUAGCCCUUGUUCAAAACCAGGAGAUGCACCAGUGUUAGCACCACAGGAUCUACUCUGGAUCAGCCUGAAACUAGAUACUGAAAGGAUCCAGGACACUGGCAACAGGUAUGUGAAACAUGCCUAGCUCUGUGUAAACUUCUCAGACACCUUGUUGUAAUAAAGGAUUUCAACAUGAAGUGGCAACUUGUGAGGACAGCUGCACUCAACAGUGAUUUCUUAAGAACUGGCUGGGCUAUUGUUAGUUGUAGUGUGGGUGGUAUUUUUGUCCUUGUCAAAGGAAAUGUGGAUUAAUUUAUAAUUAUCCCAGAUAAUUCUGACACUGUCUUACAAGCUAUAAAUUCGUGGAUUAAAAUUACAUAUAAUCAAUUUGGAA
Pezoporus occidentalis (night parrot) is the source of this 1161-nucleotide long non-coding RNA. RefSeq lists it as uncharacterized. The transcript is spliced from 4 exons. NCBI's taxonomy places the organism in Eukaryota, Metazoa, Chordata, Aves, Psittaciformes, Psittacidae. The record is from RefSeq and is a predicted model, not a curated record.